RNAcentral lists this transfer RNA (74 nucleotides) under Cnemaspis limi. RNAcentral's name for it is "tRNA-Gln". It matches the Rfam family "tRNA". Rfam says of the family: Transfer RNA (tRNA) molecules are approximately 80 nucleotides in length. Their secondary structure includes four short double-helical elements and three loops (D, anti-codon, and T loops). Lineage: Eukaryota; Metazoa; Chordata; Lepidosauria; Squamata; Gekkonidae. The record is from RNAcentral.
CUAGAGAGUAGUAUAAUUUGGAAGUACGCAAAGUUUUGGGCUUUGUUGUGCGGGUUCGGGUCCCGGGUCUCUAG